Molecule: ribosomal RNA, 245 nt
Filed under: uncultured Acetatifactor sp.
Lineage: Bacteria; Bacillati; Bacillota; Clostridia; Lachnospirales; Lachnospiraceae
Description: partial 16S ribosomal RNA
Rfam family: Bacterial small subunit ribosomal RNA
Source: RNAcentral
UACGUAGGGGGCAAGCGUUAUCCGGAUUUACUGGGUGUAAAGGGAGCGUAGACGGCAUGACAAGUCUGAUGUGAAAACCCGGGGCUCAACUCCGGGAUUGCAUUGGAAACUGUCGCGCUGGAGUACUGGAGGGGCAGGCGGAAUUCCUGGUGUAGCGGUGAAAUGCGUAGAUAUCAGGAGGAACACCGGUGGCGAAGGCGGCCUGCUGGACAGUAACUGACGUUGAGGCUCGAAAGCGUGGGGAG